Molecule: long non-coding RNA, 1414 nt
Organism: Oncorhynchus tshawytscha (Chinook salmon)
Lineage: Eukaryota; Metazoa; Chordata; Actinopteri; Salmoniformes; Salmonidae
Source: Ensembl
GGAGGUUGGUGGCACUUUAAUUGGGGAGGGACAGGCUCGUGUUAAUGACAGGAGCGGAAUCAGUGGAAUGGUAUCAAAUGCUGCGUCAAACACGUGGUUUCCAUGGUUUCCAGGUGUUUGAUGCCAUUCCAUUUGCUCCGUACAGGCCGUUAUUAUGAGCCGUUCUCCCCUCAGCAGCCUACACUGCUUUCAGGAUGGCAUCCGCUGCAUCUGUGUUUCAAAACAAUGACAAAUCUUUACAUUUUUUGUUAAAAACAACGUAUAGUUUGAUACAGUAUCUGGGGGGGGGGGGGGUCUCCCCCUAAAGCAGAAUCCGCCAUGCCGUCUUGCCUUGAAAUGAAAGUAGCGAUCCAUUUCAAGGUGUGGCACAGCGUUGUGAAGUGUUGUUUCUUGAUGAAGAGAAAAACCUUGCGGUCCCGAAUAGCGACCCAGUCACGAGACAACGCACCUUGCUGAACCAUGUGCCAAAGAGAUGAGGGUCAGUUGGUUUUUCUUGUGCUCCUCUGCUGCUGUCUCAGGCUAGCUAGACCAUCUCUCAGGCUAGCUAGACCAUCUCUCAGGCUAGCUAGACCAUCUCUCAGGCUAGAAAAAAGCGCAGCAUGUCUUGUGCACGUUUUGGCAAUCCCUAAUUUAAAAUCUAUAUGACAAAAGAAUUUGAGGAAUAGUGAAUGAUUGACCUGCUGAAAGAUUCACUCAAAUGCACUGUUAUGGUGUUAAACUCGGGACUACAAUAACAGCAGCAAAAACUACAGGUAGGCUGGGGGUCCAGUACUGUCCGACAAAAGGAACUCUGGAUAAUAGCGCUACGAGUACCUUAAAAAAAAAAAACACACAAUAGACAGAUUGCUAUUUUUUAUGUCUAAGAAGUAAAUGGAAGUAAUCCUUUAAAAGUGUUUAAAAUAAUUAUUGUGAACAUUCUGUUUGGUUGAUAAUAGUGUCCUCCGUUUUCAUCGCAUCAUGUGAUUUCUGUAUAAGGUGUUUUUAAAUGUUUUAAGUAUGAAAAAUAUAUCUACCAGUAUUGACUUAUAUGGUUUCUAUAUAAGUAUUUUCACAGAGAAUCCUGCUAUAGAAGUUGUUCUUCCAGAUUUUAGGAAGAGGCUUUGAGCGAUGGAUAAUGUUUCAGUGUAUUUCAGUAGUUAAAUGUAGCAUCGGCAGAUUUAAUUCAAACCGAGGCAGUGAUUCAAUCCAAGGCUGGUUGUAAGAGCAGUGCAUUGGACAGACACUGCACCUUUUAAAAGGCAAUUUCUCUGACGUUCAAACGGUAAACGCUGACGGUAAACGCUGACGGUAAACGCUGACGGUAUACGCUGACGGUAAACGCUGACGGUAUACGCUGACGGUAUACGCUGACGGUAAACGCUGUAAAUGACGUCAAAGUGGUCUGCUCUAUAACGUGCCUAGGAUUGAAUCACAG